ACGCUCGACACCUACGGGGGCAGCAGUGGGGAAUAUUGCACAAUGGGGGAAACCCUGAUGCAGCGACGCCGCGUGGAGGAAGAAGGUCUUCGGAUUGUAAACUCCUGUUGUUGGGGAAAAAGAGGAUGGUACCCAACAAGGAAGUGACGGCUAACUACGUGCCAACAGCCGCCGGUAAUCUGAGCGGGCGUGGCGAAGGCG
RNAcentral lists this ribosomal RNA (201 nucleotides) under uncultured bacterium. RNAcentral's name for it is "partial 16S ribosomal RNA". It matches the Rfam family "Bacterial small subunit ribosomal RNA", at positions 328 to 544 of the family's 1533-position model. The record is from RNAcentral.